AGCGAACGCUGGCGGCAGGCUUAACACAUGCAAGUCGAGCGGGCAUCUUCGGAUGUCAGCGGCAGACGGGUGAGUAACACGUGGGAACGUACCCUUCGGUUCGGAACAACUCUGGGAAACUGGAGCUAAUACCGGAUACGCCCUUAUGGGGAAAGGUUUACUGCCGAAGGAUCGGCCCGCGUCUGAUUAGCUAGUUGGUGGGGUAACGGCCUACCAAGGCGACGAUCAGUAGCUGGUCUGAGAGGAUGAUCAGCCACACUGGGACUGAGGCACGGCCCAGACUCCUACGGGAAGCAGCAGUGGGGAAUAUUGGACAAUGGGCGCAAGCCUGAUCCAGCCAUGCCGCGUGAGUGAUGAAGGCCUUAGGGUUGUAAAGCUCUUUUGUCCGGGACGAUAAUGACGGUACCGGAAGAAUAAGCCCCGGCUAACUUCGUG
Molecule: ribosomal RNA, 435 nt
Filed under: uncultured bacterium
Lineage: Bacteria
Description: partial 16S ribosomal RNA
Rfam family: Bacterial small subunit ribosomal RNA
Source: RNAcentral